RNAcentral lists this transfer RNA (87 nucleotides) under Crocinitomicaceae bacterium. RNAcentral describes it as "tRNA-Leu". It matches the Rfam family "tRNA". From Rfam's summary of the family: Transfer RNA (tRNA) molecules are approximately 80 nucleotides in length. Lineage: Bacteria; Pseudomonadati; Bacteroidota; Flavobacteriia; Flavobacteriales; Crocinitomicaceae. The record is from RNAcentral.
GCCCGGAUGGUGGAAUUGGUAGACACGACAGACUUAAAAUCUGUUGGCCCUAGGGCCGUGCGGGUUCAAGUCCCGCUCCGGGUACAA